AGAUUGAACGCUGGCGGCAGGCCUAACACAURCAAAGUCGAGCGGUAGCACAGAGAGCUUGCUCUCGGGUGACGAGCGGCGGACGGGUGAGUAAUGUCUGGGAAACUGCCUGAUGGAGGGGGAUAACUACUGGAAACGGUAGCUAAUACCGCAUAAUGUCGCAAGACCAAAGUGGGGGACCUUCGGGCCUCAUGCCAUCAGAUGUGCCCAGAUGGGAUUAGCUAGUAGGUGGGGUAACGGCUCACCUAGGCGACGAUCCCUAGCUGGUCUGAGAGGAUGACCAGCCACACUGGAACUGAGACACGGUCCAGACUCCUACGGGAGGCAGCAGUGGGGAAUAUUGCACAAUGGGCGCAAGCCUGAUGCAGCCAUGCCGCGUGUGUGAAGAAGGCCUUCGGGUUGUAAAGCACUUCAGCGGGGAGGAAGGCG
RNAcentral lists this ribosomal RNA (429 nucleotides) under Klebsiella pneumoniae. Its description in RNAcentral is "bacterial SSU rRNA". It matches the Rfam family "Bacterial small subunit ribosomal RNA", at positions 26 to 453 of the family's 1533-position model. The record is from RNAcentral. Lineage: Bacteria; Pseudomonadati; Pseudomonadota; Gammaproteobacteria; Enterobacterales; Enterobacteriaceae.